This 140-nucleotide ribosomal RNA is filed under the name uncultured bacterium. RNAcentral describes it as "partial 16S ribosomal RNA". It matches the Rfam family "Bacterial small subunit ribosomal RNA", at positions 353 to 509 of the family's 1533-position model. The record is from RNAcentral.
UGGGGGAAGUAUUGCACAAUGGGGGAAACCCGUGAUGCAGCGACGCCGCGUGAAGGAAGAAGUAUUUCGGUAUGUAAACUUCUAUCAGCAGGGAAGAAAAUGACGGUACCUGACUAAGAAGCCCCGGCUAACUACGUGCC